UGCACAUAUACACAAAAUGUUCUGCAAAUGAAGAAUUCUGUGAUUUGACCAGUUCUGUUUGAGCUGCAUCGUGGGGGCAGAAACAUCCUUAGAGUCUCACGUUGAAUUCUGUGGAGAGUUCCCUAAAUAUACAUGUACUGGCUAUGUCAAUACUC
RNAcentral lists this long non-coding RNA (155 nucleotides) under Anas platyrhynchos platyrhynchos (common mallard). RNAcentral's name for it is "lncRNA (ENSAPLG00000017195.1)". Lineage: Eukaryota; Metazoa; Chordata; Aves; Anseriformes; Anatidae. The record is from RNAcentral.